Molecule: ribosomal RNA, 653 nt
Filed under: Paroxystoglossa transversa
Lineage: Eukaryota; Metazoa; Arthropoda; Insecta; Hymenoptera; Halictidae
Description: eukaryotic LSU rRNA
Source: RNAcentral
AAAGAUCGAAUAGGGAGACUCAUCGAUAACGGAGGCUGGCUUCCGUUGACGCGCGAUACCCCGAAUGGUUCCCUUCGUGGUUCCAAUGCGAGGGUACACCGUCUUCGGCAAAUGUUCCGGCAACGUAGUUGUGCACUUCUCCCUUUGUAGAACGUCGCGACCCGUUGCGUGUCGGUCUACGGCACGAGUUUUUUUCGUUGCCUGUCGCGUCGCCUUCGUGCGUACACGGCAGACGCUCGAUCGCCUGGCCGGCUGCGCGACGGUACUCUCUGACGGUAUCGGGCCGCAACCAAUCCAUUUUUUUUUCGAAUAAUGUAUGUGCGUCAGGCCCGCCGCAAGCUCGGUUAGUAAUCCACCCGGAUGGUACGGACCUGGUGCCGGCUCCGGGCCUAGCCAGCUGUUGGCAGGCGGUGUCCUCGGACUGGCCAAGCUUUGAAUUACCGGUCAGCGACGCUACUGCUUUGGGUCCUCUCAGGACCCGUCUUGAAACACGGACCAAGGAGUCUAACAUGUGCGCGAGUCAUUGGGACUUGUUUGAAACCUAAAGGCAUAAUGAAAGUAAAAGUUGACCUUUGCGUCGACCGAGGGAGGAUGGGCCGCGUCACGAUGCGGCCUCGCACUCCCGGGGCGUCUCGUUGUCAUUGCGAGAAGAG